AUUCCGGUUGAUCCCGCCGGAGAUCAUUGCUAUCUGAAUUCGACUAAGCCAUGCAAGUUUUGGGUUAAACCAGAGCAGAAAGCUCAGUAACACGUAGUUAACCUGCCCUUAGGUUUGGUAUAAUCCCGGGAAACUGGGGCUAACGCCUAAUAGAUAAAGGAUACUGGAAUGUUCUUUUAUUGAACUAAGGAUGGGACUGUGGCCGAUUAGUUUGUUGCCAGGGUAAAGUCCUGGUAAGACGAUAAUCGGUACGGGCCUUGAGAGAGGAAGCCCGGAGAUGGAUUCUGAGACAAGAAUCCAGGUCCCACGGGACGCAGCAGGCGCGAAACUUCCGCAAUGCACGCAAGUGUGACGGAGGGAUUCAGAGUGCUUUCCUGAUUUUCGGGGAAGCUUUUGUUAAGUCUAAACAGCUUAUCGAAUAAGGGGUGGGUAAGACGGGUGCCAGCCGCCAUGUUUGUAGCAAGAAUUGCUAUUAACACGGUAAGCGGUAAUACCCGCGCCCCAAGUGAUGAUCACGUUUAUUGGGCUUAGAGCGUUCGUAGCCGGUUUGGAUAGUUCCUAAUGAAAUUCCAUAGCUAACUAUGGAGCUUGUUUGGAAUACUACUAGACUUGAGACCGGGAGAGGCCAAGGGUAUCAUUGGGGUAGGGGUAAAAUCCUAUAAUCCCAAUAAGACCACCUGUGGCGAAGGCGCUUGGCUAGAACGGAUCUGACGGUGAGGGACGAAAGCUAGGGGAGCGAAGGGGAUUAGAUUUGGCUUAAGAAUUUAAACAUCUGAUACAAAUAUAGAUUAGAAUGCCCCGUAAAACUUCAAUUUGUAGAUUACUAGGAAUAAUGCAUGGUGACGGAAAUAUGUCAUAUUCCAGAGUGCAUAUAACGGAUAAAUGUUUAGAUUAUCAUAUCAAAAUAAUACAUCCAUUGUUUAAUGAACUAUUUGGAGUUAAGAUGAAUUUAUUCCACGAUAAAAAUAGAAACUCUUAUUAUAGCCACACAAAGAAAAAAGAUGUAUAUAAAUUUCUAACAGAAAAAUUAAAAUUACCCGAAGGAUCUGUUAGAAAAAAUCUGAAAGUUGAAGAGUUUAUGAAUAAAUGGAAUGAUAAUGAAAAGGCAUUCUAUAUCGCAGGUAUAUUCGAUUCUGAAGGUUAUGUAAGCAAAAGACAAGCAGAAAUUUCAAUCACUAUAACUUCAAAGGAAAUAUUCGAUUUCAUAUCAAAUCAUUUACAUAAAUUAAAUUUCACUCAUUCAAAAAGAAUGAGAAAUAGAAGAAUGAAAACAGAAUAUGAAUUAAGAAUGUAUGGAAAGAAAAACAUAUCAUCAUUUUUUAAUCGAAUACCAAUUAAAAAUCCAGAUAAAAUUCAUAGAUUAAUUAAAUUCUUAGGCCACUAAAAACCCCCGUAGUCCUAGCUGUAAACGAUGCCUGCUAGACAUUGGCAAUCUCAAGGGGGUUGCCAGAGUCAUAGGGAAACCGUUAAGCAGGCCGCCUGGGGAGUACGGUCGCAAGGCUGAAACUUAAGGGAAUUGGCGGGGGAGCACACAAGGGGUGGAGGCUGCGGUUCAAUUCGAUUCAACGCGAGGAACCUCACCAGGAGCGACAGCAGAAUGAAGGUCAGGCUGAAGGUCUUACCAGACAAGCUGAGCGGAGGUGCAUGGCCGUCGUCAGUUCGUGCUGUGAAGUGUCGAGUUAAGUCUCGAAACGAACAAGACCCGCGCCCUAUGUUGCAACUGUAUCUUUUGAUGCAGGCACUCAUAGGGGACCGCUGGUGAUGAAUCAGAGGAAGGGGCGGUCGACGGCAGGUCAGUAUGCUCUUAAUCCCCUGGGUUACACCAGGUUUGCAAGUUGAUAAUCGAGCUUCAGUCAGCAGUAUUGCUAUAAAAUAUUGCUGUAAUAGUGUUGUCAAAUUUUUGACAAAAUCAAAAAAGCUCGUAAUUUGCAAGCUUGGAACCAAACGCGGCCUACAAUGACUGGGACAAUGAGAUGCGACUCCGAAAGGAAGAGCUAAUCUCCAAACCCAGCCCUAAUUCGGAUUGAGGACUGCAACUCGUCCUCAUGAAGGCGAAAUCCCUAGUAGUCGCUGGUCACCAACAGUUUGACAAAUUUUAUAUUUGUCUUUCUGGUGGACUCUAGCGGCGAAUAUGUUCCUGCUCCUUGCACACACUGCCCGUCAAGCCAACCGAGUGGAAUUAUGACGAGCUCUUGCUUCUUGGCAAGAUCAAGUUAUAGUUUUGUGAGGUGGGCUAAGUCGUAAGACUGUGAGAUGGGCAAUUUGAUGCGCUAAC
Molecule: ribosomal RNA, 2275 nt
Filed under: Nanobdellota archaeon
Lineage: Archaea; Nanobdellati; Nanobdellota
Description: bacterial SSU rRNA
Rfam family: Archaeal small subunit ribosomal RNA
Source: RNAcentral